Long non-coding RNA from Corticium candelabrum, 793 nucleotides. RefSeq lists it as uncharacterized. The record is from RefSeq and is a predicted model, not a curated record. The transcript has 4 exons. NCBI's taxonomy places the organism in Eukaryota, Metazoa, Porifera, Homoscleromorpha, Homosclerophorida, Plakinidae.
CUUUUCUGGAAUAUGUACGAAGGACGAGUUACUUUACGUCAGUUGGAAUCAAGAGAUCCAAAUUCAAUUGUCGAAUAACCAUUGUUCUUAUUCUUAUUUAUGCUGACAUUAUGGCGGGUUGGCUGAACAAUUGGAAUGGUAGCGACUUCAAUGAAUAAGGUAGAAUAGAGAUGUAAUGGCAGCAACAAGAAGUGAGUUUAAGAAAAGACGCAAACGUGUAAGAUCCAGCAGCUCUGGUUAAAAAAUCUUACGCCUUGCUGGUCCAAGCAGGGUCACUAAGCCCAGCCCCAGACCAAAUAGCAGUGAUAGAAAGACAAGAAGAGAGUCAGUCCUCUAGAGACUGCAGCAAUGAGAGCAAACGCGUCACAGAAACACGAACUAACAAGUCAACUAACACGCAACUCAUUGCGCCAUUUAGACAAUAUUUCGUCAAACAAAAGACCUGCUACUACUUCAAGCAUGAAAGACAAUCUAAAAAGGCCAUCACUCAAGAUGAACAAAGUCAGCUAUCGAGCACAAGCAGAAGAAGAUAGAUUCUAUUGUAGAUAAUGAAAACAGUGCAGUUCCUGCUCCACAAGAUAAAGCAGACUCUGUAGAUGCGAGUCCUGUGUGGCUGAAAUUAAGUUUCAGUGAUGUUCUAUUUGCUGUAUUAUUCUGUACUGUAAUGGUUUCCGUAUUUGCAUUGUUACAGUGGGAUUAUUUGUAAUCACGCGUGUGGAACUUUAUUUUUAUUAGUUCUAUCACUGGUGGCGCUUUCUUAAGGACAUUCUAGUAAAAGUACUGUAUAGUAAUA